GUGGCAGAAGCUUUCUACGCGGCCCGAGGAGAUAGCCAUGUGCCUUUGCUACCACUCAUAUUUGAGAGGUGACUUCGACAAGAUGACUUUGACAAAGUGACUUUGACUUGACAGACAUAUUAACACGAAACAGGCUAUGUCUACCACAUUCUACAAGUUUCUUUCACCACGAAAGAGGCCAGGAAGCUGGCUUCUGGCCCCACAGGGGAGUCCUCCCAAUAUGCUUGUUUUCCCUGGACUCUCCCAGAUUGAGAUGUUAGCACAGUUGAAGGAUAACUUUUCAACUGUCCUACUGCCUGACCUUGAGCUCGAUUAAUGGGUCCCUGCAUGAUUUCUCGGAAGGAUGCAGAGGUAACAUGGUUCACCAAUGGCAACAGCCUCAUUCAGGAUGGACAGAGCCUGUGAGAUCCCACUGUGUGACAGUGCUUUGCUGGGCAAGCCUGCUGACCUGAGUCUUAUUCUGAAACCACAUAAAAGACGGAAGGUAAAAACCAGCUCCGGGAAGUUCUGACCUCUGACCUCCGUGCAUCAGCACAUAUCAUGCCCACAUGAUAAGGACGAAUUCUUAAAUAAGAUAACCAGUCAAUUGAAUCAGGGCAACAGAUGGCACAGAUGCUGAGGUUAACAGAAAGAGACUUGGAAACAACUGUAACAAUUAAAUGAAGUAAUCAUUUAAAGAAUUCACAGGGGAAAAAAAAGUUAACGGAAUAAAGAAGCAGAUGGAGAAAGUUAGGAAAUGUAUAUACAAUUUAUCUAAGUUAAGAGAAAAGGGAUCAGAAAGAAAUAGAAAUACUAGAACUAAAAAUGUAAUAUUUAAAAUAAACUGAUUGUUCUGCAGUAAAAGAUUGUUAGUCAGGAAAAAGAACAGGAUUAGGGAAUUUGAAAACAAGUGAAUAUAAUUCACACAAACUCAAAUAGAAAAGAAAAGGUAUUUUAAAAGAAACAAAAUCUGAAUUAUCUAUGAAAUAAUAUCAAACAUUCAACAUUGUAAAAGUAACUUUUAUUCAACAGAUGUAACUGUUGUCUCAGAGGCUUACUCUUGAAUAAGCUCAUCUUUUCUAGUUAUUGAACUCUGGCUGGCUGGUUCAACUCAGCUGUUUUAGCUCAAAACACCUCUCCAAGCUGACUGAUUCAAUCUGGCUUCUCUUUGAUCUCACUGAAUUUCUGUGCCUGACCUUAAACUAACUCUGUCAUUUGUUCUGUUCUUCUGGCUCCUUCUUAUUCUUUGGCUUCAGCUGCCUCUGCUGACCUGCCCUGAACUGCAGGAACUUAGGAACAAACUCUCCUCCACUGUACUGCACUCACUGAACUGACUCCCCACUGACUGACUCUCCCUGCACUGUUCUUAAAUAGCUUCUCUGUCCUGUGCUGUUCUCAUGAGAGUUGGGUGUAUCCUAUACCUGACCCAUUCUGUCAAAUCUUUCCCUUAUUCAUCACUUUAUCUGCCCCUCAAUUAGCUAUCACUUUCAAUCAUUACUACUUCCUUCUACAAACCAAUUUUACCUUAAAGGUGUAUACUAAGGGCAUGUCUGUGUUCCUGCCAGAGGGAUUAAAGAUGUGAGUUAUGUCUGUAUUCCCGCCAGUUCACAUAUACCUAAAUCUUUGGAUGUAAUCACUUGCCCAAAGCAGCCACAUUGUUGGAUUAAAAUUCCUCUAUACAAC
Molecule: long non-coding RNA, 1662 nt
Organism: Mus musculus (house mouse)
Lineage: Eukaryota; Metazoa; Chordata; Mammalia; Rodentia; Muridae
Product: predicted gene, 36908
Exons: 4
Source: RefSeq, marked validated